This 829-nucleotide long non-coding RNA is filed under the name Varanus komodoensis (Komodo dragon). RNAcentral's name for it is "lncRNA (ENSVKKG00000016581.1)". The record is from RNAcentral. Lineage: Eukaryota; Metazoa; Chordata; Lepidosauria; Squamata; Varanidae.
GGCUUUGAUGGGGGGAGGGCGAAAUAAGUGGGCGCGGAGGGAGGGAUGUUUACUUACACCUGCAUUUUCUCCGCAAGCCCCCACUCGGCCGAACCGUUUCCCCAAGGUCUGUCCACUUGCUUCUGCUCCCUGCACGGGAAGCGACUCGCUCGCUCGUUAUAUCAUGAAAGAUCCCAGCAUUUUCCCCUGGCUUAGCGUGGGGGACUAGAACCCACAGAGUCCACCCCUCGGGGAAAUCCGAAACUUUCUAUUCCUAUGGAGGAGCUGCUGAGAAGGAUGAUGACGACUGUGAAGAAGAUGGUGGUGACGAAAAGGGGCAAAAAGAGAGGAAUGGAGGAAAAAAACCAGUCGCGUUCAGGAUUGCUUUCCAGAUUCGGAGGAUUGGCUGCCGUUCCUAUCCAUAAUAUAAUUAAAACAAACGAGGGAAAGGGUCCCCCCCUUCCAGCACCGACAGAGGUUAAUGCAAGUAUUUAACAAUGCUUUGCUUUCUGUGGGUAUUCACACGCUCCCUGCCUGAAAUAAGUUUCCCUUCGACUUAAGCAGCUCAACAGAGUAAGUAACCAGAUCUUAUUAACAGCAUGUUAUGUUAUUUUCCCGUUUAGGUUAACAAAGAUAUAAAUAUCUCUUUGCAUUUUUCUUAUUUUGCUAUAAAAUCACUGCUGCCUAUAAUAAUAGUAAUAACUGAUCAAAAUGCCAAGGCAUCAUGAAGAAAACAGGUUUCACUUAGGGAGGGGGAGUAAUUAAAGAAAGGUUUAAAGGCUGCCCGCUGAAAGCCAAGAGAUAUAAAAACUUUUGUGCCUGUGAGAUGUUGAACACAUUCUAACAGGAA